GCAGAAGGAUCAUUAGUGAAGAUUUGGGCAGGCCAUACGGACGCCAAGAAGUGUCCCUGGCCGCCUACACCCACUAUACAUCCACAAACCCGUGUGCACUGUCUUGGAGAAAGGCUUCAGAGAAGUUUUUUGUGGCCUCUCUUGGGGUCUUUCUUCGCUACAAACUCGAAUGGUUAGUAUGAACGUGGAACUUGGUUGGACCGUCACUGGCCAACAAACUAUACACAACUUUCGACAACGGAUCUCUUGGUUCUCCCA
Molecule: unclassified non-coding RNA, 258 nt
Filed under: uncultured fungus
Lineage: Eukaryota; Fungi
Description: partial contains 18S rRNA, ITS1, 5.8S rRNA
Source: RNAcentral